RNAcentral lists this long non-coding RNA (3592 nucleotides) under Salmo salar (Atlantic salmon). RNAcentral describes it as "lncRNA (ENSSSAG00000089335.1)". The record is from RNAcentral. Lineage: Eukaryota; Metazoa; Chordata; Actinopteri; Salmoniformes; Salmonidae.
GCUUUGUCUGGCUAGAGAAAAGCAGGCAGUGUGUGUGUUUGUGUGUGCAUGCGUGCAGGCCGGCGCUGAAGGGAUUGAAUGUCUGGGGCUUCAGGGCUCCCUUCCUGCCUCUAUCGUGAUAUCUCCAAGACGCUUGUCAAACUCAAGGAGAAGGGAGACGGAAGGGGAAAAAAACGCUUCGUACUUGGAUUCUGUGUGAUACUUCAAUCUGCCUCCUUUUGUGCCUCUUUCUGUCCGCUCACAAAGAGAGUUGCUAAUCCGGAGCUCAAAGGAGAGCUGGCUUUUCCUGUGUAAUUACAGACGCAACGCAACGCAAUUACAGCUGCCACACGGGAGAGAUGGAGGGAGAGAGAGAAAGUUAUGAGAAUCUACCGUCUGAAGCUAAAUAAAUAUUCCUUGACCCAAGGACUGUACUUGACAUGAUACAAGAUCAACGGUGAAGUGUUCAUUAGAGAAGUCCUUAUCAACCAGUGGAACGGAAGAAGAAUUCCUCACUACCAGCAGACUGUCAGAACAUAAUUUCUAAUAGUUAUCUAUGUGGGACUGAUACCAGUGUGGAAGAGCUGGUCACUUUUAAAAGACUUGGGGAAUGAUUGCCUUGCCAAUUGGACGAUUGAAUAUUAUUGUCUUCCUCCUAAUACAGGAUGUGGUAGGAAUCGUAAGCGACAUCAUCAUUACACAUGUCAAUACUUAUUUUAUCUAACGUUGUUAGAAAUCUAUUUCUUAUAGUAACAGCAAGUAGAAUAUGCCCUUUGUGUUUUAUAGAAAUGCAAGGUGUUUAAUGUGAAUGAUUUUAUGCUUACUGCAAAUGUUUUUUAUACCGUCUAUUUUUUCAUGUUUUCUAUUGUUUCUAAAAAUACAUUUUAAGUAUAUUUAUUUUGAAAAUGUUCUAGGGGGAGUGUAAGAAUAUUUAGAAGAUAAAUACACAAUGCAGAGGACGAGAGGUCAAUAGAGUACUAACUGUCAAGAGGACUAAAAGUCAAUAGAGUACUAACGAUCAAUGGAAAUAGUGUUUUUUCUGUAAUAGGGGAUUAAUGAUCAAUGGGUCAGAUACAUGGGAGGAAUUUCAGUCCGGGACUCAUAGCUACAUGGCAAGUUCUCGUUGGUCCAAAUUGUUUAUACAUUGAGCCUGAAAUAUGCUACUUGUUAUUUGGCCAUUGUCCCAGUUAAUUGCAAGGAAUUUUAAUUGGUCAACCACAGGCUAGGGUUGGGAUAUAAAACUACAUCCUGUCCCUUUGUUCUGUGGAGAGAAUCACUGAGUAGAGAAUAACUAAGGACAGGGGAGAAUGGGGAGAAUCUACCUCCCCGCAUGAUUUGUUCUCUUUGAAUAAACAAACCUAUUUUCCUCCCCCUGAUUUGCUUUGGGGUUUAUGUUAUUGAAGAGUAACAUCAACAGCUAACACAUGCGACAAAUACAACUGGUGUAGACUUUACAGUGAAAUGCUUGCUUACGAACCUUUCCCAACAAUGCAGAGUUUAAAGACUAAUAAUACACAAUUAAAUAGUAACUAACACAAGGGGAAUAAAAUAAAAUACACAAGAAUGGAGCUAUAUACAAGGAGUACCAGUACCAGAUCAAUGUGGAGCUAUAUACAAGGAGUACCAGUACCAGAUCAAUGUGCAGAGGUACAAGAUACUUGAGGUAGAUAUGUACACGAAGGCAGGGUAAAGUGACUACGCAUCCGGAUAGAGAGUAAUAAGAGCAAAAUAAAGAACAAAGUAGCAGCGGCAAAUGAUGUGUUUUACAAAAAGUGUAAAAGUGAGUGUGAUUGUGUGUAUGUAAGUUUGUGUUGUGUUGUGUCGGUAUGCGUGUGUGUGUUUUGAGUGUGUAUACAUAUGUAGUGUUUGAAUGUGUGAGAGAUUUGUGUGGGACUGACAGUGUGUGUGUGUGAGUGAGUGUGUAGAUGGUGUGUAUAUAAAAUUGAAUGAGUGUGCGUAGGGUCAGUGCAAGACAGAGUCAUUGUAGAUAGUUUGGGUACCAUUAAUUGACUAUUUAGCAGUCUUAUGGCUUGGGGGUAGAAGCUGUCUCGGAGCUGUUGGUCCGAGAGCCGAUGCUCUGGUACAGUUUGCCGGACGGUUGCAGAGUGAACAGUCUAUGGCUUGGUUGGCUCUAGUCUUUGGCAAUUUUUCGGGCCUUCCUCUGACAAUGCCUGAUUGAAAAUGAAUUACAGAACCCUGAGUCAAUACUUUGUAGAAGCACCUUUGGCAGCAAUUACAGCUGUGAGUCUUUCUGAGUAAGUUUCUAAGAGCUUUUCACAACUGGACUGUGCAACAUUUGGCCAUUAUUCUUUUCAAAAUUCUUGAAGCUCUGUCAAAUUGAUUGUUGAUCAUUGCUAGAAAACCAUUCUCAGGUCUUACCAUAGAUUUUCAAGUAGAUUAAAGUCAAAACUGUAACAGCCACUCAGGAACUUUCACUGUCUUCUUGGUGAGCACUGUAUAUUUAGCCUUGGGUUUUAUGUUAUUAUCCUGCUGAAAGGUGAAUCCUUCUCCAAGUGUCUGGUGGAAAGCAGACUGAACCAGGUUUUCUAGGAUUUGUGCUUAGCUCCAUUUAGUUUAUUUUUUAUCCCCCCAUUCCUUAACGAUUACAAGAAUACCCAUAACAUGAUGCAGCCAUCACUAUGCUUGAAAAUAUGGAGAGUGGUACUCAGUAAUGUGUUGGAUUGGAUUUGCCCCAAACAAACACUUUGUAUUCAGAACAAAAAGUUAAUUGCUUUGCCACACUAUUUGCAGUAUUACUUUAGUGUGUUGUUGCAAACAGGAUGCAUGUUUAGUAAUAUUUUUAAUCUGAACAUGCUUCCUUCUUUUCACUGUCAAUUAGGUAAAUAUUGUUGAGUAACUGCAAUGUUUUUGAUCUAUCCUCAGUUUUCAUCCAUCACAGCAAUUAAGCUCUGUAACUGUUUAAGUCACCAUUGUCCUUAUGGUGAAAUCCCUGAGCGGUUUCCAUCCUCUCCGACAACUGAGUUAGGAAGCAUGCCUGUAUCUUUGUAGUGACUGGGUAUAUUGAAUCACCAUCCAAAAACGUUAUUAAUAACUUCAGUGCUUGCUUUUUUUUCUUUCUUUUUUACCCAUCUACCAAUAGGUGCCCUUCUUCGCGAGGCACUGGAAAACCUCCCUGGUCUUUGUGGUUGAAAUUCACUGGUCGACUUAUGGACCUUACAUGUGUGGGGUACAGAGUUGAGGUAGUCAUUAAAAAAUCACGUUAAACACUAUUAGUCCAUACAACUCAUGCGACUAAGAAGUUUUACACUCCUGAACUUAUUUAGGCUCGCCCUAACAAAGGGGUUUAAUACUAAUUGACUCAAUAUAUUUCCGCUUUUCAUUUUUUAUUCAUUUGUAAACAAUUCAAAAAACCUAAUUACACUUUGACAUUUUGCGGUAUUCUGUGUAGGCCAGUGAAAAAACAUGACAUUUAUUCAAUUUUAAAUUCAGGCUGUAACAACAAAAUGUGGAAAAAGUCAAGGUGUGUGAAUACAUUCUGAAGGCACUGUAGCUACAAUCUUAUUGCUAAAACAAAUUAUGCAGGGAGUUGGUUUAUCAUUUCAGCUUUUAUUUCUUGGCAAGUAAACAUAUUUCAAUAAAACAGUAGCAAAUA